AACUUAUCAAGAGAGGCGGAGGGACUGGUCCUAUGAUGCCCGGCAACCUGCAAGCAGCAAUGCUUGGAAGGUGCUACUUCCAGCAAACAAAGAGUUUGAGAGAUAAGAA
This 109-nucleotide non-coding RNA is filed under the name Terribacillus aidingensis. RNAcentral describes it as "SAM-I sequence". It matches the Rfam family "SAM riboswitch aptamer (S box leader)". Rfam says of the family: The SAM riboswitch is found upstream of a number of genes which code for proteins involved in methionine or cysteine biosynthesis in Gram-positive bacteria. The SAM riboswitch acts at the level of transcription termination control. The record is from Rfam by way of RNAcentral. Lineage: Bacteria; Bacillati; Bacillota; Bacilli; Caryophanales; Bacillaceae.